This 421-nucleotide ribosomal RNA is filed under the name uncultured bacterium. Its description in RNAcentral is "bacterial SSU rRNA". It matches the Rfam family "Bacterial small subunit ribosomal RNA", at positions 39 to 505 of the family's 1533-position model. The record is from RNAcentral.
GCGGCACGCCUUAUACAUGCAAGUCGAACGAAGUAGCAAUACUUAGUGGCAGACGGGUGAGUAACAUGUAGGUAUCUUCCCUUUGGUGAGGAAUAACACGAGGAAACUUGUGCUAAUACCUCAUAAGUCUUUACGGAGAAAGCUUUAUGCGCCGAAGGAUGAGCCUGCACUUGAUUAGUUUGUUGGUGGGGUAAUGGCCUACCAAGACUUUGAUCUAUAGCUGAUCUGAGAGGAUGAUCAGCCACAUUGGGACUGAGACACGGCCCAAACUCCUACGGGAGGCAGCAGUAGGGAAUAUUGCACAAUGGAGGAAACUCUGAUGCAGCGAUGCCGCGUGAGUGAAGAAGGCCUUUGGGUUGUAAAGCUCUUUCGUCGGGGAAGAAAAUGACUGUACCCGAAUAAGAAGGUCCGGCUAACUUCG